Cotesia glomerata is the source of this 1540-nucleotide long non-coding RNA. RefSeq lists it as uncharacterized. NCBI's taxonomy places the organism in Eukaryota, Metazoa, Arthropoda, Insecta, Hymenoptera, Braconidae. The record is from RefSeq and is a predicted model, not a curated record. The transcript is spliced from 3 exons.
UCUAGUUCUACUUUGAUUCUAUUGUGGGCCCACUACUGCAUCCAAUGUGAUUUACUUGAAAUCAAAAGUCGAACCACUUUAAAACAAUUUUGGAUCCGCUGCGAAAUUUUUCUUGUUACACUCUGAAAACACUUUCAUUCCAGUUAAAAUCCAUUUCGGAACCAUUUAAUUUCUAUCUUGGAAAAACAUUGCAAACAUUCUGGGUUUACUUUGAAACCUCUCUGAAAACAGCGCACUAACCCAUUCUGGAAACAUACUGGAACCAAUAUAUUUUCAAACUGUUUCCACACUGACGCUGGUUCCAGAGUAAUUCCAGAGUGACCAUAGGGUCACGAGGGAUUGGAUGAUAAUUACGUUGUUCAUUGGGACGGGAAACUUUUAAGUGAUAUAGUUGGGUCUGAUACCGUUGAUAGGCUGCCUAUUGUUUUAUCAUCAUUUGGUGAAGAACAAUUAUUAGGAGUUUCUAAAAUAAAUUCUGGGACUAGAAUAGAAUAAGCAACAGCUGUACAUUCGAUUCUAGAUCAGUGGGGUGUUAGUCGAUAUGUUGAAGCAGUGUGCUUUGAUACUGCAGUUACUAACACGGGUAUUUAUCACGGCGCAGGUGUUGAAUUAGAGAAAGCUUUAGGUCGGGAACUUAUUUGGUUACCAUGUCGUCACCACAUGUUUGAAAUUAUUUUAAAAAGCGUUUUUGAAGUAUAUUGGCCUAAACAAACAGGCCCGAACGUGCCAAUCUUCAAUCGAUUCAAAGGUUUUUGGAACAAAAUUGAUAAAUCAAAAUUCAAAGUGGGUAUAGAAGAUACCGCUGUUGAUCAAGCUUUGUCAGACAUCACUGAUGAAAUUUUAGGAUUCAUUGGAGAAUAUUUGCAGAAAUAUUAUCCAAGGAGUGACUACAGGGAAUUUUUGGAGCUGUCAUCAGUUUUUUUAGGAGUUGUUCCAAAAGAAAAUUUUUCGCUCAAAAGUCCAGGAGCUAUGAGUCAUGCUCGUUGGAUGUCCAAAGCAAUAUAUUGUUUAUAAAUAUUCAUUUUUCGAGAAGAAUUCAAACUCACAACUUAUGAGAUAAAUAGCCUCCGAGAAAUAUGCAAGUUUAUCAUCACAAAUUAUAUAACAGCGUGGUUUACUUCGACUUCAGCGACUUUGGCUGCACAACAUGAUUUAAUUUUCAUGCAGAAAUUAAUUCGAUACAAAGCAGUAAAUUUGGCAAUAUCAACUGCAACUACUGAAAAAAUGAAGAAUCACCUAUGACAUUUAUCUGAAAAAUUAGCCGUAAUAUCUUUAUUUGAUGGAUGUGUAAAAAAUGAAGUGAAAGAACAAAUUAUUGUUAAUUUGAAGAAUCGAGAUGGUUUUAAUACGAAAGCCAAAAAAUUGGAGAUAAAAAAAGAAGACAUUGAAGGAUUUUUGCAGAAAGAUAUGAGUGAUUUUGUAUCAAAAGAUUCUAUGUUCAUUUUUACAGUGAAUAUAGGAAAAAAUUUCCGAAUUGUAAUAAAACUACUCUAAUAUCACAAGGUUAAGGAAAAAAAAAUAAAAAUAAUUUUUAAUUGAA